This 441-nucleotide ribosomal RNA is filed under the name uncultured bacterium. RNAcentral's name for it is "bacterial SSU rRNA". It matches the Rfam family "Bacterial small subunit ribosomal RNA", at positions 338 to 795 of the family's 1533-position model. The record is from RNAcentral.
CCUANGGGUGGCUGCAGUAGGGAAUAUUGGUUAAUGGGCGAAAGCCUGACCCAGCAACGCCGCGUGUGCGAUGAAGGCCUUCGGGUCGUAAAGCACUUUUUAGUGGGAUGAGGAAGGACAGUACCACUAGAAUAAGUCUCGGCUAACUACGUGCCAGCAGCCGCGGUAACACGUAGGAGACAAGCGUUAUCCGGAUUUACUGGGUGUAAAGCGCGUGUAGGCGGCUCUGUAAGUUGGAUGUGAAAGCUCCUGGCUUAACUGGGAGAGGUUGUUCAAGACUGCAGGGCUUGAGGGUAACAGAGGGGAGUGGAAUUCCGAGUGUAGCGGUAAAAUGCAUAGAUAUUCGGAAGAACACCAGUGGCGAAAGCGGCUCUCUGGGUUACAUCUGACGCUCAGACGCGAAAGCUAGGGGAGCAAACGGGAUUAGAUACCCUGNUANUC